Molecule: long non-coding RNA, 1163 nt
Filed under: Fukomys damarensis (Damara mole-rat)
Lineage: Eukaryota; Metazoa; Chordata; Mammalia; Rodentia; Bathyergidae
Description: lncRNA (ENSFDAG00000026012.1)
Source: RNAcentral
GAACUCAGGACCUUGUGCUUGCGAGGCAAGCAGCAGAACCACUGAGCUAAAUCCCCGGCCCUGGAACAUGUUUUUUGUUAUUGUUGUUGUUGGUACCGGGGGUCAAGCUCAGGACCUUGUGCUUUCAAGGCAGGCCUGGCGCCACUGAGCUAACUCCCGGCCCUGUUCCUUUCUCUGUUAGCCCGGUCUUCCUGUCUAAUGGAUACAGUAGCUUUGGCUCUCUCUAGGAUACUGUUUCUUUUGAAAACCCUUCUCCCCUGUUUACUAAAUGAUCCGUUUCUUCCAGGAUCAAUUUUUCUGCGAUCCCCUUUGUUGGGAGGUGCGGUACCAACUGCAGUGUCAACUAUCAGAAACGAAGAAGUUGCUCCUGUCACAACCCUUCCGGGGGGAAGGCAAUGGAUACCAGGGAGAGGGGGCUCCCCUCCAUUUCUGCUCCUCCUCCUGAGACAGCCUACGACAUAUUCUUCUUUCCCUCCUUCGAGGUCUGAGUGCCAAUGCCAGCUGGAACUCCUGCAGUGUGACAGCCUGGGGACCGAGGCAGCCCGCGCACCCACCCAGCACUGCUCUGCUUUUCCAAUUGGAAUCCAUCAGCAGCUCCUCCUGCCUUCCCCCUAGGCGCGGUGGAAAGGUUUCCUGUUUAUGCCUCGCUUGAGAACCCACAACGGAGAGAGGUGGGGUUUCCGACCUGCCUUCGGGGCUGGAUCGGUUUUAUCAAAGCCCACCCGACCCCCUCGUAACUGCCCUGUGGCUUUGGGGGCGGUGGUGGGUGGGCUCUGGUAAGGGGGAGGCGGUAGCCCGGCUUCCCGGCGGGACCCAUAAAUUUGGCCUUGUUAAGAAACCUGCAGGGAUGGUCGGGUUGAAGGUGAUCGGGUUACAAAAGCCAGCCAGGCCUUGAUGGCUUCACGGGAGGCCGGGGGCGAACAAAAGACCCGCGGCCAGGGGCGGUUAGGGUGGGCCUGAGCCAGCCACCCUCGGGAGACCCGGAGUGGCCCCCAGGGGACAACCUUUAGAUUAAGCAGCUGGGAGAACUGGAGUCCUAGGCGAAGACUCCCCCAGAAACACCUUUUUCCCUUUCUGGGUGGGGAUGGGCCGGAAAUUUAUUGUGAUUUUAUCAAAAAUAAAUGCAGCAAAAUUUAUGCAUAGAAAAAAUACUGAAAGGAAAC